This 477-nucleotide ribosomal RNA is filed under the name uncultured organism. Its description in RNAcentral is "partial 16S ribosomal RNA". It matches the Rfam family "Bacterial small subunit ribosomal RNA", at positions 333 to 801 of the family's 1533-position model. The record is from RNAcentral.
ACACUCCUACGGGAGGCAGCAGUGGGGAAUUUUGGACAAUGGGCGAAAGCCUGAUCCAGCAAUGCCGCGUGAGUGAAGAAGGCCUUCGGGUUGUAAAGCUCUUUUGUCAGGGAAGAAACGGUGAGAGCUAAUAUCUUUUGCUAAUGACGGUACCUGAAGAAUAAGCACCGGCUAACUACGUGCCAGCAGCCGCGGUAAUACGUAGGGUGCAAGCGUUAAUCGGAAUUACUGGGCGUAAAGCGUGCGCAGGCGGUUUUGUAAGUCUGAUGUGAAAUCCCCGGGCUCAACCUGGGAAUUGCAUUGGAGACUGCAAGGCUAGAAUCUGGCAGAGGGGGGUAGAAUUCCACGUGUAGCAGUGAAAUGCGUAGAUAUGUGGAGGAACACCGAUGGCGAAGGCAGCCCCCUGGGUCAAGAUUGACGCUCAUGCACGAAAGCGUGGGGAGCAAACAGGAUUAGAAACCCCGGUAGUCCCAUGAU